UACGGGGGGGGCAAGCGUUGUUCGGAAUUACUGGGCGUAAAGGGCUCGUAGGCGGCCAACUAAGUCCGACGUGAAAUCCCAAGGCUUAACCUUGGAACUGCGUCGGAUACUGGAUGGCUUGAAUUCGGGAGAGGGAUGCAGAAUUCCAGGUGUAGCGGUGAAAUGCGUAGAUAUCUGGAGGAACACCGGUGGCGAAGGCGGGCUACUGGGCCGAUACUGACGCUGAUGCGCGAAAGCCAGGGGAGCGAACGGG
Molecule: ribosomal RNA, 253 nt
Filed under: uncultured bacterium
Lineage: Bacteria
Description: partial 16S ribosomal RNA
Rfam family: Bacterial small subunit ribosomal RNA
Source: RNAcentral